UUUUUUUUUUACCUUCCACCAAAGGUCAGUGUUGAGUAGUCCCAAAGUUGCUCUCAGAACACCCGGGUUGGUUCUCUGGCUUUCCGGUUUCCUGGUCCUACCUCCACAGCCCCCUGGCCUUGGCUUCACUCUAGUUACCUAACCACACAUAAAAAAAAGAAAGAUACAAGAGGUUUUGCCACCAAGUUCUACAGAACAUCCACAGAUCAAAAAACUCCAAUUUUACCCAAACUUCUCCAAAACAUGACUAGGAGUAUAUUAGAAAGGGUGAUUAUAGAUCAAACUCAUUCAGGGACAUCGAUGUAAAACUCAUAAACAAGGCCAGGCAAAUCUCCCUCUGACCACCCGUGCCCUGCUCCUCCCCUCCUCUGAACUCCCCUGGUGCUCUCCAUCUCCGCCCCACUGUAUCGUCCCCGUCUCUCAUCGCCUCCUUCUCCAGAGGAAGAGUGUGAAUCCCAACUGGUCAAUAUCUAACUCUCCUCUGUUGGACGGCUGCAUAACCUCGGGUCAACCGUUAGCCCUUUCAGCCUCAGUUAAUCUGAAAACUGGGGACCGUGUCUUCUUUACAAUGUUUCUAGAUUUUAGGAGAUAUAAGGACAAAAGUAGACUUAUGAGUACUUGAAGAGCCCCAAUAAUAAAUAUAUCAACACAUUCCCCCCAAAAAGGCCAUGCCUUCUUCAAGGCAAUUGAUGGGUCUCAUUGGUCUUUCUGUUCUAAAAGUACCAAACUCAAGGGUUAUAAAAAUGAAGAGGUUCUCCAUCUUUGACCUUGACUGCACCUAUCUUGUACUGGGUCACUGCAAGUUAGGAUCUGGGGGUUAGUUAAUGAUUUCAAAUGGUCAAGUUCUUAGUCCUUUCUGAAUCCCUCAAUCAGUGGCAAGGUAAUAAAACUCAUAACCCUUCUCAGUUACGUUGCUUAUAGAACAGCCAAUUCCCAGAGAUACUUCAGCAGAAUGUGAAAAGUGAUCUUGACCAAGCAGAUCUGGUUCCACCACAGCUUAGUAGUUAAAGGAAGCAUAUCCUACCAACACUGAUCAAAAACCCAACAAGGAAAGAUUCAGAUAGAAAUUUUUGUCCUACAGGACACUCAGAAAUUUGAACAUAACGUCUUAUAAAUAAAUAAACAAACACACACCCACAUGCACACACACCAGAAUGUCCUUGAGAGAUGCGAUGAGAUCAUUCAUAUGAAGUCCUACAGUUGUGAGUGAAAAAUUAACAUCAGGCCAGGUUCCUGUAGGCCCACCUAGGGAUACAGCAUUCCCUUACAACUGCCGAGUAAAGCUAAAUGUGGGGCGUGGUCUCUGCUUUGCUCCAUGUGUGGGAUGCCCCCCGGGUUGGGGAGCCUCGAGCUGGUGCACGCCCUUGGGUCUGCAUGACCAGGCCAAUGGAAAUAAUCAGCAGAACACAGAAGCUGCAGCUUCUCAGCAGCCUCUGGCCCUCCUCCACAGCAGCCAAACACACCUUUCGUGGGUGAAGGGACAAAGGAAACCACGUAUUUGAGCAGCUGUUGGAUCUGCCAAGGGCAUGAAGGACGUACCGGCCAUGUCUCCUGCCCUGUGUCCUCCCUCAAAGCAAAAUGAAGAAGUCUUAGAUUAAAGCCCGUAUGUGUCCAGUGCGUCUGUCAACCCCAUUCAUUGUCCACAUAGUGGCGUCCCAUGGAUGCUAUUACCAGGAUGAGAUCCUAAAGAAGUGUUUAGACAGUCAAGUCAUGCAAAGAUUGGCCCUGCAGAUAGAGCUACCCAUCACUAGAUUCUCAUGAGGAAAACCUAGAAAUAACAAAGCGCUGUUUACUUUCUAUAUUAUAUCCAGUGACUUUUUGGGUGAGGAAAAAUAUAAAGAGCUUGGGUGAGAAUAAAUUGAUGCAAAAUAAGCCACCAGUAGGACACAUGGCCAAGGCAAAUAAAACAACAGAUGUUUAAAGAUAACUUUAUGACUUGGGAAAAAUAAGAAGUGAGAAGAGAGAAAGUGAAGGGCUUUGUUUUUCAGAACCUGAUGGAGAGCUAACACAUGGUCACUUAGGGCGGGGUAAAGACAACUGGAGAGGGUGCCUGGGUUAGGAGGAGAUCAGGAGACAAGGGUGGCACAUGUCAGAGCAAUCCUGAUUUUCCCCUCACAGGGUGGAUGGGGAUGGGGUGAGUGCCACAAUGGGAAGUACCUACACCUAGGCGGAGGGAUAAAAACUAGCUCUUUCCCAAGCAUAAGGAUAAACUAGAUAAUCACUUGCUGUGGAGGGAGGAGGAAGGCAAGAGGGAGAAAGCAAUAUCAUGACAGAAGUCAGAAAAAUAAGAUGGCAACUCACUUCUACUCAGAAAUAGCAAACCAUAAAAGGCCCAGCAACCUCUGAGAAACGACAUCUCCAAACGACAAAGCAUGAGGGCCACACCUGGACCCUGCUCAGAAACAGCUAAAAUCAUGCACAGAAGUAGAAAUAAUUGUAGCCUCACAAGUUCCUUCAUGAUGUCAGCCUCCAAGCAGUGACCAACACACAGGAUACGAGAGGCACCUGGCCUCAUGCUACAGGUCAUCUUAGAGCCAGUAUCAGCCAAGAGCACAUAAAAAUCACUGUGCUGGUUGAUUUUAUUUUUCAAGAAUACAUGUAUUGUGUUCUCAUGGACCCACACUGCUUAAUAUUUGGAGAAUAUGGAAAGCACAAAGGACAAAAAUAAAAAUUAUUUAUAAAAGCCACUAUUUUAGGGUGCCCCAGGUGGCUCAGUCGGUUGGGUGUCCAACUCCUGAUCUCAGCCUGGAUCUUGAUCUCAGGGUUGUGAGUUCAGGCUCCAAACUGGGCUCGAUGCUGAGUAUGGAAAAGAAGAUGAUGAGAAGAAAGAAGAAGAAGAAGAAGAAGAAGAAGAAGAAGAAGAAAAGAAGAAGAAGAAAGGAGAAGGAGAAGGAGAAGAGAAGGAGAAGGAGAAGGAGAAGGAGAGCCACUAUUUUUAUAUUCAAAGAAAAACUACUUUCUACCUAAACCUUGCAUUCCCUCUCCAGUACUGAAAUCAGGGGUGCAAAUAAAGUACGAUCACCAAAUCUUCGGGAACUAUGACUUCUCCAGGCCCUCUGAAAUUCCUGGGAGGACAAAAUGUUUACGGAGUGUCAAUAGGUGUUUAUAGAAUUAUUGGGGAAUGGCAUUUAGGGUGUUUUGCAAACUUUAGACGCACCAGACCUUUCAGAAUCACCCACAGGGCUUGCUGAACUACAGAUUGCUUAACUGUGCUCCAGAAGACUCUUCUUCAGAUUCUUAUGGGGCCUGAGAAUUUGCAUUUCCAAAAAUUCUCAGGUGACGCUGAUGCUCCUGGUCCCAGAACUUCACUUGGGGGACCACCAACUCAGUUAAUAUCACCUUAGGGAGCACCUCCUUUAACGGCUCCCAAAUUUUAUCAAACUUAUCUGAAAUGCUGUUUUAAAAAAAGUUAUCUUUCCCCCACUGCACUCAGAUGUUCACUGACAGAUGAGUGUAUAAAGAAGAUGGGGUAUAUAUGUCACAUAUUGUAUCGUGUGUGAUUCUAUUGUAUAUGCACACACACAGUGGAAUAUUGCUCAGCCAUCAAAAAAAUGAAAUCUUGCCAUUUACGACGAUGUGGGUGGAAGUAGAGGAUAUUGUGUUGAGUGAAAUAAGUCAACCAGAGAAAGACGAUUAUCCUAUGAUCUCACUCAUAUAUGGAAUUUAAGAAACAAAACAGAGGAUCAUAGGGGAAGAGAGGGAAAAAAAUAAAACAAGAUGAAAUCAGAGAGGGAGGCAAACCAUGAGAAACUCUUAAUCAUAGGAAACGAGCUGGGGGGAGGGGGUCCUGGGUGAGGACAUUAAGGAGGGCACUGACAUAAUGAGCACUGGCUGUUACAUAAGACUGAUGGUCACUGGCCUCUACCUCCGAAACCAAUAAUACGUUGCAUGUUAAUUAAUUGAAUUUAAGCAAAAAUUUUUUUGAAUUAUCUGAAAUGCUAUUUACAAAUACAGAUGUCCUAACCCCCCUGCAGUCUCAUGAGAUCAGUCAUAGCUGGAAGCUUCAGAACACAUAUGAGUUACUGCAGGUUUUUGCCAGAAAGGUAAAUUCCCAAAAUCUAUCCCAACUUAACAAGUGCCGCCAGUGGAUUCAUAGAAACCCACACUUUGGAAAACCUUAAAACAGGUCCUCGGGACGCUGAUGAGGAGGGAGUGAAGCAAGCGUCUAGUUUUCCUUCAGUUAGCUUCACCUCAACUGUUUUACCUUAGAGCCUUUCCUUUAAAAUUACCAAUAUUAUGAAUCCUCUGUGCCCUUUGAUCUCAAGUGUAAGUCAUGAUUCUAAAUAAGAAAUCCGAUGUGCAUAGGAGCCACCCAUUAAAUGUCAUCCUUGACAUUUCAAUGUCCUUGACAAAUCACUGAGGAAUACAAAAAUGAAUCCAAAUCCUGCUUCUCUUCGUAUAAUCUCCUGCUAUUUCCAGCGUCUGUAUAAUAUAAGCAUCUGAAAACAUUUAUGUUCUUUGUGCUGGUAGCUUGGUCUUUUGAGGCUCAGGAAUGACCUAAAAGAAAACGGAGAGAGCACUCCACCUAGCGUGGCAUUGGGCCAGGUUCCAGGAUCAGCAGGCCCAACAAAGCCUUUCCAAACGAGUGGGGAGAAAACCUUCACCCGACGUAGCGUUUCACCCUUCUCUGUCAGCUUUAGCUCCUUCUAGACGUCAUAGUACAACAGGAGAAAAGAGACGAGAUAAAUUUGUUCGCCACCAUGGCAUUUUGAGUCCUCCCAGAUCUGCCAAGAGAGACUUCUCUUCAGGGAACAGCCUCAUUCCAGGUUUCUCCAUUGUUGCCUCUCACUGGGGGCAUAAGAUGUGUGGGACCAAGGGGACAAGCCCCCAAGAACCCAAGCCCCCAGAAUUAUCUGCCCAAAUGGCACCGAGCUCCCAUCCAAGCCCUUCCGGAGUCUACACUCCCACGUGUAUUUACCACUGGGCCCCGUGCGUGGUGGCCCGGUUGGGUACUGGGAAUACGGAUAGAGCUUGGACAUGUCAUCCGUAGCACCCACAUGCAUGCACUCCAUGAGUGGGGGGUCCCUGAUGAUGCAGGUCAGAGUGGGGCUGGAAAAAGAGGAGAAACAGGCCACGGGCCUCAGGAAGGAGCAUGGAGGAGUGUUGGCUGGCGGCCCAUACCCUCGCUGGAGCUCUGAGGGCUGAGGGUGCUAAUCAAAUCCAUCCUUCUAUCUCGAAUGAAAGCCGGCUUAUCAAAAGAGGAGGGCAGGGCCUAUCCUAAUUAAGCUUCUUCAGUUGAUUUAUAACUUCUGCAGAUAUGGCCGAUAUGCCUCCACCUGUCCUCUUGCUCCAGUUCCAAACACACGAGGGAGAAUCAGACCCGCAGCCCUUGGGGCUCAGCUCAGAGGGGCUCGUGCUGCACAUCCUCUGAUCCCCCUGGGAGCUCUCAGGACCUUGUCUUGUUCUGCAGCUAAGCCUUGAAGGAACUGGGUCUUACGAGCCAUCGUGGUUCUUGGCUCACCCCUCAAGGUUCACCUUCACUAAGUCAAGCAAAUAGCCAGACUUGUAUAACUGUUGCUUGUCAGCUCAGAGAGCAGUGGAACAAAAGAAGUCGAGAUCAUCUCCAGGGGGUCUGCCUGGAUAGAGCAAGAAAGGCUAAACAGACAACUCUAGCACAGUUCACCUCUGCGUGACCUUGACUCCAAUCCCAGAUGCUUAAAUCCCAAAUUCACUCUCAAUCCUGAUGGAAGCCACACCAACCGUUUACUUUUAUUUUCCAGUUUUCUCCUGUGUAAACGUCUAAUAUUUAUUCGGAGAUUAUCUAUUAACACGUGUUACUAAUUUAUCAUUUGCCUUAAGGAUCUUGGGUGGCUCCUUUCAGCAAAUAUUUGACGACCUCGGGAUACAGCAGGAAAUACAACAGUGAACAAGAAAGGCUUAUCUUUACCUUUGAGAAACUCACAGGCUGGCAGGGACAAGCACAUCGAACAGGCACACGUAAGGAAUUCCGCAAGUCAUUGAUUGCAAUUCUCACAGGUGUUUCAGAAGAAAGUAUGGGAGCCCAAAGGGGCGCUAAGAGGGGACAGAUCGAGCGUCCCUGAGGCCAUGGGACUUAAGCCGAGGGACAUGAAGCAGCACCAGCCAAAGGCAAGCCUUCGAGAGGAAAACCCUGGGCCUCGAGGAGGGAAGGAACCCGGCACAGUGGAGGAACAGCAAUGA
Molecule: long non-coding RNA, 6159 nt
Filed under: Canis lupus familiaris (dog)
Lineage: Eukaryota; Metazoa; Chordata; Mammalia; Carnivora; Canidae
Description: lncRNA (ENSCAFG00845019595.1)
Source: RNAcentral